Cygnus olor (mute swan) is the source of this 1388-nucleotide long non-coding RNA. RefSeq lists it as uncharacterized. The record is from RefSeq and is a predicted model, not a curated record. The transcript has 3 exons. Lineage: Eukaryota; Metazoa; Chordata; Aves; Anseriformes; Anatidae.
ACUUGGCCCCCGUCCAGUGGCAAACAUCCUUCUGAUGUCCUGCCCAGCCUUCAUCUCAGCUUUAAUGGGAAUGCAACCUUCCUCAGCCUUCAGGAGAUCAGCAGAUGUACUACCAGUUUCACUUGCCGUGUGAAGGUUGGCUCCUACGUGACACAGAGAAUGAGGAGGAGAUGAUUGCAGUGGGAAAGGAAGAUGUGCUUUGUCCUGCAUGAUGUUCAAUGGUGUUCACCUCAUCCUUUUGGACUCAUCUGAGAUCAGCACUGAUGAAUGUUUGUGUGGGGUGUUUCCUUGGGGAAGACCUUGUAGUAUCACCCAUCUGUACGUUGAACAACUUGACAUGGUGUAUAGCAAGCUCUUGAGAAGGAUGCUGCUAAGGCACUUCGGACGGGCAUUUAUGGUUCUGCUCCAUUACUUGCAGUUUGAGCUUCGAUCAAAGAGGAAGAAGAAGAGGAAGGAUAAAGGGAAGGGAAAGGGAAAGGGAAGGAGAAGGCAUCCCCACAGUAAUUUCCUGGUGUUUCUCUGACUAACCUCAGCAGCAUAGCAUAGGGAAAGCCUUCUGAUGAAUGCUUCGGGAGAGAGAACAAUGUAUGCUUCUCCUGCCAGUUAUCCCAGCUCUGGAUAUAUAUAGUGGGCAAAGUCUAGAGCUGAUCCUUUACAGUGUGUGAGCACAGCUGGUAGCAGGAAAUCCCCAGUCCUCUCUGGUAGCAUAAAAAAUGAAAUUAAUGGCCAGCCCUUGAAUAGCUCUGUAAGAGACUGAAGACCUCUUCCUUUUCAUUCAGUUAUCCAUACAUGGCCAGCCCCAAUCUAGCUGGUGGGUUUUAACAAAACCUAAUAUGAAUGGAAUUAUUUUCAUGUAUUGCUUUAUUUUUUUAAAACUUUCCUUUUAUUACAUGCUGACAGAAAAAUCCAAUAUAUAAUCCACUGACAGCCGGCGAGCGCCAGAGCCUGAAAAGUCAUCUUACAAAGAAGGAUAUGCAAUUUUGUAUUUCCAUCAAGCGUGCUAGAAUAAUAAGUCAGCUGCCACAAGCCUUGGAGAACUGGCUGGGUUUGGACCUCCUACAGCAAAUUGAGUGACUCAGAGGAACACGUAGACACAGUCGGCACUUGUAAGAAGUGGUUUUAAUAAGAAGAGGAGACAAGUCAUCGUCCCAGCUGUGCAAUCCUCGCCGAAGUCAAAGGGGCUGAAAAGAAAGGCACCAUUUGUCCUGAAGAGCAGCACACACAUGUAUACUGAAGGAGGAUAGCUAUGUAUUUAGACUAGAAGUUCCCCAGACCUAGACGAGACAUUCCUCUGUUUGCUUAACUUCAUUGUUCUUCCCUUCUCUCAUCACUUGUCCUCAGCUGACUGCAGCAGUCCCCGUGGAGCGCCGCAGAAGGCAGGGCAUGGC